RNAcentral lists this ribosomal RNA (253 nucleotides) under uncultured Eubacteriales bacterium. RNAcentral describes it as "uncultured Clostridiales bacterium partial 16S ribosomal RNA". It matches the Rfam family "Bacterial small subunit ribosomal RNA", at positions 524 to 776 of the family's 1533-position model. The record is from RNAcentral. Lineage: Bacteria; Bacillati; Bacillota; Clostridia; Eubacteriales.
UACGUAGGGGGCAAGCGUUAUCCGGAUUUACUGGGUGUAAAGGGAGCGUAGACGGCAGCGCAAGUCUGGAGUGAAAUCCCAUGGCUUAACCAUGGAACUGCUUUGGAAACUGUGCAGCUGGAGUGCAGGAGAGGUAAGCGGAAUUCCUAGUGUAGCGGUGAAAUGCAUAGAUAUCACGCAGAACUCCGAUUGCGAAGGCAGCUUACUAAGCCAUAACUGACACUGAAGCACGAAAGCGUGGGGAUCAAACAGG